CCAGAACCCUUUGUGAACUUAUACCCAUACUGUUGCCUCGGCGCAGGCCGGCCCCUGCUGCAGGGGCCCCCUGGGGACAGGGAGCAGCCCGCCGGCGGCCAACCAAACUCUGUUUCUAUAGUGGAUCUCUGAGUAAAAAAACAUAAAUGAAUCAAAACUUUCAACAACGGAUCUCUUGGUUCUGGCAUCGAUGAAGAACGCAGCGAAAUGCGAUAAGUAAUGUGAAUUGCAGAAUUCAGUGAAUCAUCGAAUCUUUGAACGCACAUUGCGCCCUCUGGUAUUCCGGAGGGCAUGCCUGUUCGAGCGUCAUUUCAACCCUCAAGCCUGGCUUGGUGAUGGGGCACUGCCUGUGAAAGGGCAGGCCCUGAAAUCUAGUGGCGAGCUCGCCAGGACCCCGAGCGUAGUAGUUACAUCUCGCUCUGGAAGGCCCUGGCGGUGCCCUGCCGUUAAACCCCCAACUUCUGAAAAUU
This 470-nucleotide ribosomal RNA is filed under the name Diaporthe cichorii. Its description in RNAcentral is "eukaryotic LSU rRNA". The stretch from base 156 to 309 matches the Rfam family "5.8S ribosomal RNA". Lineage: Eukaryota; Fungi; Ascomycota; Sordariomycetes; Diaporthales; Diaporthaceae. The record is from RNAcentral.